GCGGGCGUAGCUCAGCUGGUUAGAGCGCUUCCCUGUCACGGAAGAGGUCGAGGGUUCGAAUCCCUUCGCUCGCG
This 74-nucleotide transfer RNA is filed under the name Candidatus Kaiserbacteria bacterium RIFCSPHIGHO2_12_45_16. Its description in RNAcentral is "tRNA-Asp". It matches the Rfam family "tRNA". From Rfam's summary of the family: Transfer RNA (tRNA) molecules are approximately 80 nucleotides in length. Their secondary structure includes four short double-helical elements and three loops (D, anti-codon, and T loops). Lineage: Bacteria; Candidatus Kaiseribacteriota. RNAcentral also lists the same sequence under 5 other names. The record is from RNAcentral.